Cajanus cajan (pigeon pea) is the source of this 544-nucleotide long non-coding RNA. RefSeq lists it as uncharacterized. The record is from RefSeq and is a predicted model, not a curated record. NCBI's taxonomy places the organism in Eukaryota, Viridiplantae, Streptophyta, Magnoliopsida, Fabales, Fabaceae.
AUAAAAAUGGCCUUGAACUGGUACCUCAGCAUAUGUACUCCCAAGUAAAGCCUCAGGUCUCUGUUGAUGCUCAGGCAGGCACUGAUUGGGAUCCAUUGGGUCGCCACCAGAAUGGCAUGAGUGGUGGUGUAGCAAUGGAACCAAGUGUUGAUGCCGAUGAUUUGGGGAGAUAUUCACCUUUUCCAAGCAGGUGAGCCUGGUCAAAUGGAGACUGCUACUGUGAACUGAAUGUAUUGGUUUAUAGGGAAACUCUUCCCUGUGGGAAAGUGGUAGCCAUAAAACGAGCUCAAAAAGAAUCAAAGCAGGGAGGGCCAGAAUUCAAAGCUGAGAUUGAACUUCUUUCAAGGGUCCACCACAAGAAUCUGGUUAGCCUUGUGGGAUUCUUCUUUGAACGAGAAGAACAAAUGCUAGUUUAUGAGUUUGUCCAAAAUGGAGCUUUGAAGGAUGCUCUCACGGGUAUUUGUAUAUCUCCAGCCUGGUACUUAAAGCAAAUAUUACUAUUUGUAUUAAAUUUUUAACUAAUUAAAUUGGAUUAUUACCUUUA